RNAcentral lists this transfer RNA (74 nucleotides) under Culex quinquefasciatus (southern house mosquito). Its description in RNAcentral is "tRNA-Thr". Lineage: Eukaryota; Metazoa; Arthropoda; Insecta; Diptera; Culicidae. The record is from RNAcentral.
GCAGUGCGUGGCCGAAUGGUUACGCUGUCCGCUUUGUAAGCGGAUGAUUCUGGGCUCGAUUCCCAUUUGCUGCA